CAGGCCUAACACAUGCAAGUCGAACGGUAGGGGGAGCAAUCCCCCGAGAGUGGCGAACGGGUGAGUAACGCGUGAGAAUCUGCCUUCAGGAUGGGGACAACAGUGAGAAAUCGCUGCUAAAACCCAAUGUGCCGAAAGGUGAAAUAUUUAUAGCCUGAAGAGGAGCUCGCGUCCGAUUAGUUAGUUGGUGGGGUAAAGGCCUACCAAGGCAGCGAUCGGUAGCUGGUCUGAGAGGAUGAGCAGCCACACUGGGACUGAGACACGGCCCAGACUCCUACGGGAGGCAGCAGUGGGGAAUUUUCCGCAAUGGGCGAAAGCCUGACGGAGCAAUACCGCGUGAGGGAGGAAGGUUUUUGGAUUGUDAACCUCUUUUUUAAAGGAAGAAGAAAGUGACGGUACUUUAAGAAUAAGCAUCGGCUAACUCCGUGCCAGCAGCCGCGGUAAUACGGAGGAUGCAA
This 458-nucleotide ribosomal RNA is filed under the name uncultured cyanobacterium. RNAcentral describes it as "bacterial SSU rRNA". It matches the Rfam family "Bacterial small subunit ribosomal RNA", at positions 43 to 537 of the family's 1533-position model. The record is from RNAcentral. Lineage: Bacteria; Bacillati; Cyanobacteriota.